Molecule: long non-coding RNA, 518 nt
Filed under: Eutrema salsugineum
Lineage: Eukaryota; Viridiplantae; Streptophyta; Magnoliopsida; Brassicales; Brassicaceae
Description: long non-coding RNA (ESAL_LNC001537)
Source: RNAcentral
CACCCAGCGACCAUGGUCUGGGGGUAGUGGAACUUGGGACUCAGAUGCAUAAUGGCAGACUUCUAAGUUCGAGUAGCAAAGCUGCUAAAACUACCCUUAGAAAUUAACACAUGUUUGUUGGGUCAGUUGGCUUAUGGGCUUUGGCCCAGAUGUUUCACAUGAUGUUCAAUAUCCAAUGAGCUGGCUCAUCCCGGGAUUAGUCAGGUGCUCAUGGUCGUAGAUCCAGUCAGGAUAAGCGAACAAGCCUGAUGCCGAAUUUGGCGUCUACAGAUUCUGUUGAUCCGUAAAAAAUGUUAGCAAUUGCAUCAGAGAACUACCAACCCUAAUAAUCUUCAUAGGUCAAGUGAAACAUUAAUAUCAAGUCACUGUCAAAAAUAUUAACUUCAAGAGAUAUUCUUGUUGUAAUAAACAAAUAUUGACAAUAAUGCAUGAUCUUUCACAUAAUUAUUUCUAAGUAUGUUUAUCGUCACAUGUAUAUGUAAUACGGUUAUAUAUCAUGCUGACUCAUUAAUUGUUUU